AGUGAACGCUGGCGGCAGGCCUAACACAUGCAAGUCGAGCGGCAGCGCGGGGGCAACCCUGGCGGCGAGCGGCGGACGGGUGAGGAAUUCGUCGGAAUCUGCCUCUUUGUGGGGGAUAACGUAGGGAAACUUACGCUAAUACCGCAUACGUCCUACGGGAGAAAGUGGGGGACCGCAAGGUCUCUCGCAGAAAGAUGAUCCGACGACCGAUUAGCUAGUUGGUGGGGUAAAGGCGCACCAAGGCGACGUUCGGUAGCUGGUCUGAGAGGAUGAUGAGCCACACUGGGCGGUGGACUAGACUCUUACUACUAUCAAGGUGAGCAGUGACAUUGUUGCAUCGUGGCAAGUCAGCCAGAUACUGCCCAGCCACGUAUGUGAAGACAUCCCUCGGGUUGUAAAGAACUUUUUUGCGGUAAACAAACCUUGCACCUUAUACGAACGCAGCAUGCCGCUACCGAAAAGAUAGGCACCGGCUAACUUCGUG
Molecule: ribosomal RNA, 484 nt
Filed under: uncultured bacterium
Lineage: Bacteria
Description: partial 16S ribosomal RNA
Rfam family: Bacterial small subunit ribosomal RNA
Source: RNAcentral